ACGCACGCUGGCGGCGUGCUUAACACCUGCCAGUCGAACGGUGAAGCGCCUUCCUUUUUGGUGGGUGUGGAUGAGUGGCGCACGGGUGAGUAACACGUGAGUAACCUGCCCCCUUCUUCUGGAUAACCGCAUGAAAGUGUGGCUAAUACGGGAUAUUCUGGGUCUGUCGCAUGAUGGGUCUGGGAAAGAUAUUGUUUCGGUGGGGGAUGGGCUCGCGGCCUAUCAGCUUGUUGGUGGGGUGAUGGCCUACCAAGGCGGUGACGGGUAGCCGGCCUGAGAGGGUGGACGGUCACACUGGGACUGAGACACGGCCCAGACUCCUACGGGAGGCAGCAGUGGGGAAUAUUGCACAAUGGGCGCAAGCCUGAUGCAGCGACGCCGCGUGAGGGAUGGAGGCCUUCGGGUUGUGAACCUCUUUCGCCAGUGAAGCAGGCCUGCCUCGUUUGUGGGUGGGUUGACGGUAGCUGGAUAAGAAGCGCCGGCUAACUACGUG
This 493-nucleotide ribosomal RNA is filed under the name uncultured bacterium. RNAcentral describes it as "partial 16S ribosomal RNA". It matches the Rfam family "Bacterial small subunit ribosomal RNA", at positions 29 to 507 of the family's 1533-position model. The record is from RNAcentral.